UGGGAUGUAGCUCAGUGGUAGAGCAUCUCCUUUGCGGGCAGAAGGUCCCAGGUUCUAUCCCCGGAAUACUAA
Molecule: non-coding RNA, 72 nt
Organism: Podarcis lilfordi (Lilford's wall lizard)
Lineage: Eukaryota; Metazoa; Chordata; Lepidosauria; Squamata; Lacertidae
Source: the annotation of a GenBank genome assembly